This is a non-coding RNA of Pelobates cultripes (western spadefoot toad), 1113 nucleotides long. Lineage: Eukaryota; Metazoa; Chordata; Amphibia; Anura; Pelobatidae. The record is from the annotation of a GenBank genome assembly.
UGUCAUUGUUUUUUAUUCAAUGGUAUAAAUUCCAGAGAACUGAUAGCUCCACUUUAAUGUAGCAAAUUGACAGGUUCUCAUAGCUGGCAGUUUAGUGACUUAUCACUUUGUUGUGCGUUCUUAAAGCAGCAUAGUGUGUUAAUGAUAUUUUAAAUGUGCGUGAUCACAGUGUUGUCAUUUCCAAGGCUCAGUCACUGAAUCAUUUCUGAAUCAGCUCUAGACGAUCAACUGUCUGGGCUGUGAAAGAGGGUGGUAAUAGAAACAAAUAAGUUGUGCUUAAAAGGGUUAACCCUUUAGCUGAAAUGGCUCUUUAUACAUACUACAAUACAAUGACAAGCAAUAACUGAAUAUCAGUGGGGCAUGUCAUUUAUGGUCUGUUUCCUGAAAUCUCUAUUGCAUGAUACAUAUUAACUUUUAAAAUGUCUGUUUUCUAAAGUCUAACAUAUUAACUCAACCACAAAUACUUUAAAUACUGUGUCACAGGGUAUUGUGUAGUAGAUUAGAGAGCAAUGAUCAAGUAAUGAAAUAUACCGCCCAAAAUCCUUCUGCUCACCGUAAAAUUAUUAAAUGAAAACGUGUUAAUGCAAGUUUUUCAUUGCAAAGACUGCAAACAAGAGAACUUCAGUAUUUGUAAGCUGCUUUAGAUAUACCCUCAAUUAAAUAAUUCAUAAAUGUUUUAAUUUGGGGUAUAUCUACUAGAGUGAUUUAAAAAAAAAAAAAAAAUUGGGUGGGGCGGCAAUGGAGUGUCCCUUUAAAAUGAACAAUUACACUAUUUAAAAUAUAUUUAACUAAAUCAUGCACCAUUUUACUUUUGGUUACUAUAUCCAUUUUUAAAGGGACACUCCGUUGCCCAAAUACAAACCUUUUAUACUGUUCAGUAAAUAUACUCCAAUGAAAGCAUGCAUUUUUUUAUUUUUUUUUAUUCUUUAUUUCCAAAGAGCCAGAUAUCCUUGUAAUACCCACAUUGCAUACAUUAUUGGCAUUUUACAUUAUGUGUAUAGUUGUGCAUAUAUUAUAACCUUGAACAGCAAUACAAUCAAUAUUCUCUAGAUCAUAACUUUCUUGGGGUUUAUAUCAAGAUAAUAACUUAAAUGUUUAAAAAAUAAAGUGUAG